Molecule: ribosomal RNA, 245 nt
Filed under: uncultured bacterium
Lineage: Bacteria
Description: partial 16S ribosomal RNA
Rfam family: Bacterial small subunit ribosomal RNA
Source: RNAcentral
GUGGAGAGUGGCGUCCGGGUGAGGAACACGUAGCUGAUCUACCCUUCGCAGGGGGAUAACUUCGCGAAAGCGAGGCUAAUACCGCGUACGCUCCGGGGAUUUAGAACCCCUGGAGGAAAGUUCCGGCGGCGAAGGAGGAGGCUGCGUUCCAUCAGCUAGUUGGUGAGGUAAUGGCUCACCAAGGCGACGACGGAUAGGGGACCUGAGAGGGUGACCCCCCACACUGGUACUGACACACGGACCAG